CUCCUGGUUUCAAGGAAUCCAUCUGCCUCAGCCUCCCAAAGUGUUGGGCUUACAGGUGUGAGCCACCAUCCAGGCCAUCAAAGGGUAUUUACUUGUAUUACAUCUGUAGCCCCUACCCUACAUGCAGAAAAAUCUGGUUCUUACGGACACAAGACAUGAGAGUAUUAGAAUAUCCCACAAUUACUUAGUUGCUUUCUAGUCAACACAUUUUAAGUCCCUAGGUAAAUUAGCACACUCUCCACUUCCAUCAACACAGAGAAUGCUACAAGGCAAUGUUUAAACACAUGUAUGAGCAUCAGCCACUUCCAAAAAUGGAACUGUCCCAGGAGCUCUGUGUGGUCACCAGGCUGGGGGGCUGCGGUUAGAGGAGAGGAGCACAACGUUAGCAAGAGAAUGAAAACGCUCCUUUCCUUCUCUCCUCACCAGCCCGGCCUGCCCUCUAGUGGAGAUGCUAAAGAGCACAGGAAACAGGCCAAGGCAGGUCAGGCAGGAAGUCAGCUAGCUGACAUUUACUUAGCAAUUAUCAGACAUGGUCUUAAAAUGGGUACUGAAGGUAGAAAACCUCUCUGUGGCUUUAAGCGCAGCUGGAGAGACUAGAGGUUACCCAAAUGAAAUGUGUUUCACAAACUGGAACCAAGCAAAGUACCAAAUUUCAAAAUCAAGAGAGGAAAGGCAAAACUGAGUGUAUCAAAAUGACUUCACUAUAAUUAUUUUUAAAGAUAUGCCAUUUUAUUUUUUUCAAUAGACAUAUAGUAUACCCUAAGAUAUAAAUGCUCUUAUACAGUUUGAAAAACAUUACAGGUCAUAGUGAGAUAAGUUCAUAGACUUAAAAAUCUUUUUCACUUAAAAAAAUUAAUCAAUGGAUCCAGUGAUUAAUCCUGUAUCUUUCCCAGUUGAUGCAAUGUGAAGAAGGACUCAUUUUGGUCAUAAAACCUAAGAUUUUUUAACACUUA
Sapajus apella (tufted capuchin) is the source of this 953-nucleotide long non-coding RNA. RefSeq lists it as uncharacterized. The transcript is spliced from 2 exons. The record is from RefSeq and is a predicted model, not a curated record. NCBI's taxonomy places the organism in Eukaryota, Metazoa, Chordata, Mammalia, Primates, Cebidae.